UAAUACAUGCAAGUCGAACGCGUCUCCGUUAAUGAUUUUAGGUGCUUGCACUUGAAAGAUUUAACAUUGAGACGAGUGGCGAACUGGUGAGUAACACGUGGGUAACCUGCCCUUGAAGUAGGGGAUAACACUUGGAAACAGGUGCUAAUACCGUAUAACAACCAAAACCACCUGGUUUUGGUUUAAAAGACGGCUUCGGCUGUCACUUUAGGAUGGACCCGCGGCGUAUUAGCUUGUUGGUAAGGUAACGGCCUACCAAGGCGAUGAUACGUAGCCGACCUGAGAGGGUAAUCGGCCACAUUGGGACUGAGACACGGCCCAAACUCCUACGGGAGGCAGCAGUAGGGAAUCUUCCACAAUGGACGAAAGUCUGAUGGAGCAACGCCGCGUGAGUGAUGAAGGGUUUCGGCUCGUAAAACUCUGUUGUUGGAGAAGAACAGGUGUCAGAGUAACUGUUGACAUCUUGACGGUAUCCAACCAGAAAGCCACGGCUAACUACGUGCCAGCAGCCGCGGUAAUACGUAGGUGGCAAGCGUUGUCCGGAUUUAUUGGGCGUAAAGCGAGCGCAGGCGGUUUUUUAGGUCUGAUGUGAAAGCCUUCGGCUUAACCGGAGAAGUGCAUCGGAAACCGGGAGACUUGAGUGCAGAAGAGGACAGUGGAACUCCAUGUGUAGCGGUGAAAUGCGUAGAUAUAUGGAAGAACACCAGUGGCGAAGGCGGCUGUCUGGUCUGUAACUGACGCUGAGGCUCGAAAGCAUGGGUA
RNAcentral lists this ribosomal RNA (762 nucleotides) under Lentilactobacillus buchneri. Its description in RNAcentral is "bacterial SSU rRNA". It matches the Rfam family "Bacterial small subunit ribosomal RNA", at positions 49 to 767 of the family's 1533-position model. The record is from RNAcentral. Lineage: Bacteria; Bacillati; Bacillota; Bacilli; Lactobacillales; Lactobacillaceae.